CAGCAGCCGCGGUAAUACCGGCGGCCCGAGUGGCGGCCACUAUUAUUGGGCUUAAAGCGUCCGUAGCCGGGUUGGUUAGUCUCCCGGGAAAUCUGGCCGCUUAACGGUCAGAAUUCCGGGAGAUACUGCCAGCCUAGGGACCGGGAGAGGCCGAGGGUAUUCCCGGAGUAGGGGUGAAAUCCUAUAAUCCCGGGAGGACCACCUGUGGCGAAGGCGCUCGGCCGGAACGGGUCCGACGGUGAGGGACGAAGGCCAGGGGAGCAAACCGGAUUAGAUACCCGGGUAGUCCUGGCUGUAAACGAUGCGGACUUUGUGUCGGACAAGCUAUGAGCUUGUCCGGUGCCGGAGGGAAACCGUUAAGUCCGCCGCCUGGGGAGUACGGCCGCAAGGCUGAAACUUAAAGGAAUUGGCGGG
This 414-nucleotide ribosomal RNA is filed under the name uncultured microorganism. Its description in RNAcentral is "bacterial SSU rRNA". It matches the Rfam family "Archaeal small subunit ribosomal RNA", at positions 459 to 872 of the family's 1478-position model. The record is from RNAcentral.